ACGGAAGGCAGCAGUGAGGAAUAUUGGUCAAUGGACGGAAGUCUGAACCAGCUAAGUCGCGUGAAGGAUGAAGGUAUUAUGUAUUGUAAACUUCUUUAGCAGUGGAGUAAUAAGGGGAUCGCGAUCCCUGAUGCAAGUACACUGAGAAUAAGGAUCGGCUAACUCCGUGCCAGCAGCCGCGGUAAUACGGAGGAUCCGAGCGUUAUCCGGAUUUAUUGGGUUUAAAGGGUGCGCAGGCGGCUUUUUAAGUCAGUGGUUAAAUCGUGACGCUCAACGUCAUCACGCCAUUGAUACUGGAGAGCUUGGUUGCGGUCGAGGUUUGCGGAAUUCGUUGUGUAGCGGUGAAAUGCAUAGAUAUGACGAAGAACACCGAUUGCGUAGGCAGCAGACCAGGCCGUAAAUGACGCUCAUGCACGAAAGUGCGGGGAUCGAACAGGAUUAGAUACCCUGGUA
Molecule: ribosomal RNA, 453 nt
Filed under: uncultured Porphyromonadaceae bacterium
Lineage: Bacteria; Pseudomonadati; Bacteroidota; Bacteroidia; Bacteroidales; Porphyromonadaceae
Description: partial 16S ribosomal RNA
Rfam family: Bacterial small subunit ribosomal RNA
Source: RNAcentral